RNAcentral lists this ribosomal RNA (307 nucleotides) under uncultured bacterium. RNAcentral describes it as "partial 16S ribosomal RNA". It matches the Rfam family "Bacterial small subunit ribosomal RNA", at positions 506 to 809 of the family's 1533-position model. The record is from RNAcentral.
AGACAGCAGUCGCCACGGUAAUACGGAGGGUGCAAGCGUUAAUCGGAAUUACUGGGCGUAAAGCGCACGCAGGCGGUCUGACAAGUCAGAUGUGAAAUCCCCGGGCUUAACCUGGGAACUGCAUUUGAAACUGUCAGGCUGGAGUCUUGUAGAGGGGGGUGGAAUUCCAGGUGUAGCGGUGAAAUGCGUAGAGAUCUGGAGGAAUACCGGUGGCGAAGGCGGCCCCCUGGACAAAGACUGACGCUCAGGUGCGAAAGCGUGGGGAGCAAACAGGAUUAGAUACCCCAGUAGUCCCUGUCUCUUAUAA